CAGCAGCCGCGGUAAUACGGAGGAUCCAAGCGUUAUCCGGAAUCAUUGGGUUUAAAGGGUCCGUAGGCGGUCUUGUAAGUCAGUGGUGAAAGCCCAUCGCUCAACGGUGGAACGGCCAUUGAUACUGCAGGACUUGAAUUAUUGGGAAGUAACUAGAAUAUGUAGUGUAGCGGUGAAAUGCUUAGAGAUUACAUGGAAUACCAAUUUCGAAGGCAGGUUACUACCAAUUGAUUGACGCUGAUGGACGAAAGCGUGGGUAGCGAACAGGAUUAGAUACCCCCGUAGUCCCUGUCUCUUAUAC
This 301-nucleotide ribosomal RNA is filed under the name uncultured bacterium. RNAcentral describes it as "partial 16S ribosomal RNA". It matches the Rfam family "Bacterial small subunit ribosomal RNA", at positions 509 to 807 of the family's 1533-position model. The record is from RNAcentral.